This 517-nucleotide ribosomal RNA is filed under the name uncultured bacterium. RNAcentral's name for it is "bacterial SSU rRNA". It matches the Rfam family "Bacterial small subunit ribosomal RNA", at positions 28 to 537 of the family's 1533-position model. The record is from RNAcentral.
GAUGAACGCUAGCGGGAGGCUUAACACAUGCAAGUCGAGGGGCAGCAUAGGGUAGCAAUACUCUGAUGGCGACCGGCAAACGGGUGAGUAACGCGUAUGCAACCUACCCUGUACAGGGGGAUAACCCGGAGAAAUUCGGACUAAUAUCCCGUAAUAAUAUCCGGAGGCAUCUUUGGAUAUUUAAAGUUCCGACGGUACGGGAUGGGCAUGCGUAACAUUAGCUGGUUGGUAAGGUAACGGCUUACCAAGGCUAUGAUGUUUAGGGGUCCUGAGAGGGUGGUCCCCCACACUGGUACUGAGACACGGACCAGACUCCUACGGGAGGCAGCAGUGAGGAAUAUUGGUCAAUGGGCGCAAGCCUGAACCAGCCAUCCCGGUGCAGGAAGACGGCCCUAUGGGUUGUAAACUGCUUUUCCAGGGAGAGAAACUUACGCACGUGUUGCGUGACUGACGGUACCCUGGGAAUAAGCAUCGGCUAACUCCGUGCCAAGCAGCCGCGGUAAUAUCACGUGUACCG